This 496-nucleotide ribosomal RNA is filed under the name uncultured bacterium. RNAcentral describes it as "partial 16S ribosomal RNA". It matches the Rfam family "Bacterial small subunit ribosomal RNA", at positions 29 to 507 of the family's 1533-position model. The record is from RNAcentral.
AUGAACGCUGGCGGCGUGCCUAAUACAUGCAAGUCGAGCGAACAGACGAGGAGCUUGCUCCUCUGACGUUAGCGGCGGACGGGUGAGUAACACGUGGAUAACCUACCUAUAAGACUGGGAUAACUUCGGGAAACCGGAGCUAAUACCGGAUAAUAUAUUGAACCGCAUGGUUCAAUAGUGAAACACGGUUUUGCUGUCACUUAUAGAUGGAUCCGCGCCGCAUUAGCUAGUUGGUAAGGUAACGGCUUACCAAGGCAACGAUGCGUAGCCGACCUGAGAGGGUGAUCGGCCACACUGGAACUGAGACACGGUCCAGACUCCUACGGGAGGCAGCAGUAGGGAAUCUUCCGCAAUGGGCGAAAGCCUGACGGAGCAACGCCGCGUGAGUGAUGAAGGUCUUCGGAUCGUAAAACUCUGUUAUUAGGGAAGAACAAAUGUGUAAGUAACUAUGCACGUCUUGACGGUACCUAAUCAGAAAGCCACGGCUAACUACGUG